ACCUGGCUGGCUCAGUCGGUGGAGCAUGGGACUCUUGAUCUCAGGGUUGUGAGUUUGAGCCUAACAUUGGGUG
This 73-nucleotide transfer RNA is filed under the name Felis catus (domestic cat). It matches the Rfam family "tRNA". From Rfam's summary of the family: Transfer RNA (tRNA) molecules are approximately 80 nucleotides in length. The record is from Rfam by way of RNAcentral. RNAcentral also lists the same sequence under 1 other name. Lineage: Eukaryota; Metazoa; Chordata; Mammalia; Carnivora; Felidae.